RNAcentral lists this unclassified non-coding RNA (161 nucleotides) under uncultured Helotiales. RNAcentral describes it as "sequence contains ITS1". Lineage: Eukaryota; Fungi; Ascomycota; Leotiomycetes; Helotiales. The record is from RNAcentral.
CAGUGUUCGCUGCCCUCACGGGUAGCAAACCUCACCCUUGUGUAUUAUAUCUUUGUUGCUUUGGCACGCCGCCUUCGGGCACUGGCUUCGGCUGGCUCGCGCGUGUCAGAGGACCCCAAACUCUGUGUUUAGUGUUGUCUGAGUACUAAGUUAAUACGUUA